GUGCCAGCAGCCGCGGUAAUACGGAGGGUGCGAGCGUUGUUCGGAAUUAUUGGGCGUAAAGCGCGUGCAGGCGGUCGAGUAAGUCAGAUGUGAAAGCCUUUCGCUUAACGGAAGAAGUGCAUUUGAAACUGCUCGGCUGGAGUACGGGAGAGGAGAGUGGAAUUCCCGGUGUAGAGGUGAAAUUCGUAGAUAUCGGGAGGAACACCAGUGGCGAAGGCGGCUCUCUGGUCCGAUACUGACGCUGAGACGCGAAAGCGUGGGGAGCAAACAGGAUUAGAUACCCUGGUAGUCCACGCCGUAAACGAUGGGCACUAGGUGUAGGAGGUAUUGACCCCUUCUGUGCCGGAGCUAACGCAUUAAGUGCCCCGCCUGGGGAGUACGGCCGCAAGGCUAAAACUCAAAUGAAUUGACGGGG
RNAcentral lists this ribosomal RNA (415 nucleotides) under uncultured prokaryote. RNAcentral describes it as "bacterial SSU rRNA". It matches the Rfam family "Bacterial small subunit ribosomal RNA", at positions 505 to 918 of the family's 1533-position model. The record is from RNAcentral.